GUAACGAGCGCAACCCUUGUCCUUAGUUACCAGCACGGUUAUGGUGGGCACUCUAAGGAGACUGCCGGUGACAAACCGGAGGAAGGUGGGGAUGACGUCAAGUUAUCAUGGCCCUUACGGCCUGGGCUACACACGUGCUACAAUGGUCGGUACAAAGGGUUGCCAAGCCGCGAGGUGGAGCUAAUCCCAUAAAACCGAUCGUAGUCCGGAUCGCAGUCUGCAACUCGACUGCGUGAAGUCGGAAUCGCUAGUAAUCGUGAAUCAGAAUGUCACGGUGAAUACGUUCCCGGGCCUU
RNAcentral lists this ribosomal RNA (295 nucleotides) under uncultured Pseudomonas sp. RNAcentral describes it as "partial 16S ribosomal RNA". It matches the Rfam family "Bacterial small subunit ribosomal RNA", at positions 1089 to 1382 of the family's 1533-position model. Lineage: Bacteria; Pseudomonadati; Pseudomonadota; Gammaproteobacteria; Pseudomonadales; Pseudomonadaceae. The record is from RNAcentral.